RNAcentral lists this ribosomal RNA (424 nucleotides) under uncultured bacterium. RNAcentral's name for it is "bacterial SSU rRNA". It matches the Rfam family "Bacterial small subunit ribosomal RNA", at positions 359 to 774 of the family's 1533-position model. The record is from RNAcentral.
GAAUAUUGGACAAUGGGGGGAACCCUGAUCCAGCCAUGCCGCGGGUGUGAAGAAGGCCUUUUGGUUGUAAAGCACUUUAAGCGAGGAGGAGGCUACUCUAGUUAUUACCUAGAGAUAGUGGACGUUACUCGCAGAAUACGCCCCGGCUACCUCUGUCCCGCCCGCCGCGGUAAUACAGAGGGUGCAAGCGUUAAUCGGAUUUACUGGGCGUAAAGCGCGCGUAGGUGGCCAAUUAAGUCAAAUGUGAAAUCCCCGAGCUUAACUUGGGAAUUGCAUUCGAUACUGGUUGGCUAGAGUAUGGGAGAGGAUGGUAGAAUUCCAGGUGUAGCGGUGAAAUGCGUAGAGAUCUGGAGGAAUACCGAUGGCGAAGGCAGCCAUCUGGCCUAAUACUGACACUGAGGUGCGAAAGCAUGGGGAGCAAACA